This 399-nucleotide ribosomal RNA is filed under the name uncultured bacterium. RNAcentral's name for it is "bacterial SSU rRNA". It matches the Rfam family "Bacterial small subunit ribosomal RNA", at positions 64 to 507 of the family's 1533-position model. The record is from RNAcentral.
GAGCGGGCGUAGCAAUACGUCAGCGGCGGACGGGUGAGUAACACGUGGGAAUAUGCCUUUCGGUUCGGAACAACUCGGGGAAACUCGUGCUAAUUCCGGAUACGCCCUUACGGGGAAAGAUUUAUCGCCGAAAGAUUAGCCCGCGUUGGAUUAGCUAGUUGGUGAGGUAAAGGCUCACCAAGGCGACGAUCCAUAGCUGGUUUGAGAGAACGACCAGCCACACUGGGACUGAGACACGGCCCAGACUCCUACGGGAGGCAGCAGUGGGGAAUCUUGGACAAUGGGCGCAAGCCUGAUCCAGCCAUGCCGCGUGAGUGAUGAAGGCCUUCGGGUUGUAAAACUCUUUUGGCGGGGACGAUAAUGACGGUACCCGCAGAAUAAGCUCCGGCUAACUUCGUG